UUUUCUAUACAAAGGAAUCUUAUCUCUUAUUUUUACAUUUUUUCAAAGAUAUUUAUCCCUUUGUCUGCUACCUUUUUUUUUUUUGUCUAUAUCUAUCUUUAUGUCUUUUUCUUCUUUUGUCUUUGUCGUCAUUUUUCUUUGUCUACUAUGACUCUUUUUCUUCAUCCUUAUCUUAUUUUGCAUUCUUAUCUCUUCAUCUUUAUUCCAAAUCAACAUCUGCUUAAUUUAAACAAACAUUAUGGGUUUUAGGGAGUUUCCCAUCGUCUCCUUUUAUCUCUGGAAUUUUACCGUCUUCCGAUCGACGUAGCUCCGCAUUUUUAUAGUCAUGCUGCUGACUUAUAUUAGCUUUAGACUUCAGGUUAUCUUCAUUAGUCUUUAGCUUUUGUAUCUCAUUGUCCAUACUAUCCACUUUAGUACAAAGUGUAGUAAUGGCUUUGAGUAGCUUUUCAAUUGUAUCUUCGUCUUUGUUUUCAGUUUGAGUAGCUUUGUCUUGAUAAGUAGUCUGCAAUACCAUUCUUAUUAGUCUUUAUCACUUCAAUUGUAAAUGAAAAGUUUAAUAUAUUUAAUACCAAUCUUCUAAUUUCUUUCGUUGUUA
Solanum lycopersicum (tomato) is the source of this 595-nucleotide non-coding RNA. Lineage: Eukaryota; Viridiplantae; Streptophyta; Magnoliopsida; Solanales; Solanaceae. The record is from RefSeq and is a predicted model, not a curated record.